This 1477-nucleotide ribosomal RNA is filed under the name Synechococcus sp. BOUM118. Its description in RNAcentral is "bacterial SSU rRNA". It matches the Rfam family "Bacterial small subunit ribosomal RNA". The record is from RNAcentral. Lineage: Bacteria; Bacillati; Cyanobacteriota; Cyanophyceae; Synechococcales; Synechococcaceae.
AGAGUUUGAUCCUGGCUCAGGAUGAACGCUGGCGGCGUGCUUAACACAUGCAAGUCGAACGAACCUUCGGGUUAGUGGCGGACGGGUGAGUAACGCGUGAGAAUCUGCCCUCAGGAGGGGGAUAACGGUUGGAAACGACCGCUAAUACCCCAUAUGCCGCGAGGUGAAAUGAAUUUCGCCUGAGGAUGAGCUCGCGUCUGAUUAGCUAGUUGGUGGGGUAAAGGCCUACCAAGGCAUCGAUCAGUAGCUGGUCUGAGAGGAUGAUCAGCCACACUGGGACUGAGACACGGCCCAGACUCCUACGGGAGGCAGCAGUGGGGAAUUUUCCGCAAUGGGCGAAAGCCUGACGGAGCAACGCCGCGUGAGGGAUGAAGGCCUCUGGGCUGUAAACCUCUUUUAUCAAGGAAGAAGAUCUGACGGUACUUGAUGAAUAAGCCACGGCUAAUUCCGUGCCAGCAGCCGCGGUAAUACGGGAGUGGCAAGCGUUAUCCGGAAUUAUUGGGCGUAAAGCGUCCGCAGGCGGCCCUUCAAGUCUGCUGUUAAAAAGUGGAGCUUAACUCCAUCAUGGCAGUGGAAACUGUUGGGCUUGAGUGUGGUAGGGGCAGAGGGAAUUCCCGGUGUAGCGGUGAAAUGCGUAGAUAUCGGGAAGAACACCAGUGGCGAAGGCGCUCUGCUGGGCCAUCACUGACGCUCAUGGACGAAAGCCAGGGGAGCGAAAGGGAUUAGAUACCCCUGUAGUCCUGGCCGUAAACGAUGAACACUAGGUGUCGGGGGAAUCGACCCCCUCGGUGUCGUAGCCAACGCGUUAAGUGUUCCGCCUGGGGAGUACGCACGCAAGUGUGAAACUCAAAGGAAUUGACGGGGGCCCGCACAAGCGGUGGAGUAUGUGGUUUAAUUCGAUGCAACGCGAAGAACCUUACCAGGGUUUGACAUCCUGCGAAUCUCUUGGAAACGAGGGAGUGCCUUCGGGAACGCAGUGACAGGUGGUGCAUGGCUGUCGUCAGCUCGUGUCGUGAGAUGUUGGGUUAAGUCCCGCAACGAGCGCAACCCACGUCUUUAGUUGCCAGCAUUUAGUUGGGCACUCUAGAGAGACCGCCGGUGAUAAACCGGAGGAAGGUGUGGAUGACGUCAAGUCAUCAUGCCCCUUACAUCCUGGGCUACACACGUACUACAAUGCUACGGACAAAGGGCAGCAAGUUCGCGAGGACAAGCAAAUCCCAUAAACCGUGGCUCAGUUCAGAUCGUAGGCUGCAACUCGCCUACGUGAAGGAGGAAUCGCUAGUAAUCGCAGGUCAGCAUACUGCGGUGAAUACGUUCCCGGGCCUUGUACACACCGCCCGUCACACCAUGGAAGUUGGCCACGCCCGAAGCCGUUACUCCAACCCUCGGGAGGAGGACGUCGAAGGUGGGGCUGAUGACUGGGGUGAAGUCGUAACAAGGUAUCCGUACCGGAAGGUGCGGAUGGAUCACCUCCUAA